GAUGAACGCUGGCGGCGUGCCUAACACAUGCAAGUCGAGCGGACGGACGAGAAGCGCGCCUCUCUGCUGCUACCGACGGGCGGGUGAGUAAUACGUGUAUACCUUACCUAGAAGGCUGGGAUAACGUCGGGAACGCUGAUCCAACAUCCGUCAUGAGUUUGAAACUCAUGGUUCUUCAGUGAUCGCCGGUUCUGAUGUGCCUAGUAGAGGGUACCUCGCUGGAUUAGCUAGUUGGUAAGGUAACGGCUUACCAAGGCAACGAUGCGUAGCCGACCUGAGAGGGUGAUCGGCCACACUGGAACUGAGACACGGUCCAGACUCCUACGGGAGGCAGCAGUGGGGAAUCUUGCACAAUGGGCGAAAGCCUGACGCAGCCAUGCCGCGUGAGUGAAGAAGGUCUUCGGAUCGUAAAGCUCUGUUAGUUGGGAAGAACAUAUGUGUGAGUAACUGUGGACGUCUUGACGGUACCUACAGAAAAAGCAACGGCUAACUACGUG
Molecule: ribosomal RNA, 497 nt
Filed under: uncultured bacterium
Lineage: Bacteria
Description: partial 16S ribosomal RNA
Rfam family: Bacterial small subunit ribosomal RNA
Source: RNAcentral